UUUGUUGCCUAGAGUGAUGGGCUCCGAAGCUAACGCGAUAAAUCGACCGCCUGGGGAGUACGGCCGCAAGGUUAAAACUCAAAUGAAUUGACGGGGGCCCGCACAAGCGGUGGAGCAUGUGGUUUAAUUCGAUGCAACGCGAAGAACCUUACCUGGUCUUGACAUCCAUAGAAUUCUGCAGAGAUGUGGGAGUGCCUUCGGGAACUAUGAGACAGGUGCUGCAUGGCUGUCGUCAGCUCGUGUUGUGAAAUGUUGGGUUAAGUCCCGCAACGAGCGCAACCCUUAUUCUUUGUUGCCAGCGAUUUGGUCGGGAACUCAAAGGAGACUGCCGUUGAUAAAGCGGAGGAAGGUGGGGACGACGUCAAGUCAUCAUGGCCCUUACGACCAGGGCUACACACGUGCUACAAUGGCGUAUACAAAGGGAAGCGAAGGUGCGAGCUGGAGCGGAUCUCAUAAAGUACGUCUAAGUUCGGAUUGGAGUCUGCAACUCGACUCCAUGAAGUCGGAAUCGCUAGUAAUCGUAGAUCAGAAUGCUACGGUGAAUACGUUCCCGGGCCUUGUACACACCGCCCGUCACACCAUGGGAGUGGGUUGCACCAGAAGUAGAUAGCUUAACCGCGAGGGGGGCGUUUACCACGGUGUGAUUCAUGACUGGGGUGAAGUCGUAACAAGGUAACCA
This 679-nucleotide ribosomal RNA is filed under the name uncultured Enterobacteriaceae bacterium. Its description in RNAcentral is "bacterial SSU rRNA". It matches the Rfam family "Bacterial small subunit ribosomal RNA", at positions 823 to 1502 of the family's 1533-position model. Lineage: Bacteria; Pseudomonadati; Pseudomonadota; Gammaproteobacteria; Enterobacterales; Enterobacteriaceae. The record is from RNAcentral.